Molecule: ribosomal RNA, 501 nt
Filed under: uncultured bacterium
Lineage: Bacteria
Description: bacterial SSU rRNA
Rfam family: Bacterial small subunit ribosomal RNA
Source: RNAcentral
AGAGUUUGAUUAUGGCUCAGGAUGAACGCUGGCGGCGUGCCUAACACAUGCAAGUCGAGCGGAGAUAAGUUGAAGCUUAGCGAUUCUUAUCUUAGCGGCGGAUGGGUGAGUAACACGUGGGUAACCUGCCCUGCACUGGGGAAUAACAGCUGGAAACGGCUGUUAAUGCCGGCAUAUGCGCACGGAGCCGCAUGGCUUUGGGCGGAAAGAUUUAUCGGUGCAGGAGUGGGCCCGCGCCGGAUUAACUAGUUGGCGGGGUAACGGCCCACCAAGGUGAUGAUCCGUAGCCGACCUGAGAGGGUGACCGGCCACAUUGGGACUGAGACACGGCCCAAACUCCUACGGGAGGCAGCAGUGGGGGAUAUUGCACAAUGGGGGAAACCCUGAUGCAGCGACGCCGCGUGAAGGAUGAAGUAUUUCGGUAUGUAAACUUCUAUCAGCGGGGAAGAAGAUGACGGUACCCGACUAAGAAGCCCCGGCUAACUACGUGCCAGCAGCCGC